GACGAACGCUGGCGGCGUGCUUAACACAUGCAAGUCGAACGGAGUGGCGAACGGGUGAGUAACACGUGGGUGACCUGCCCUGCACUUCGGGAUAAGCCUGGGAAACUGGGUCUAAUAACGGAUAGUGUGGGAUGGGCCCGCGGCCUAUCAGCUUGUUGGUGGGGUAAUGGCCUACCUAGGCGGCGACGGGUAGCCGGCCUGAGAGGGUGGACGGCCACAGUGGGACUGGGGCACGGACCGUACGCCGACGGGAGGCAGGGGGGGGGAAUAUUGCCCAAUGGGCGGAAGCCUGAUGCAGCGACGCCGGGUGGGGGAGGACGGCCUUCGGGGUGUAAACUCCUUUCACCAUCGACGCGGUAGAUGGAGAAGAAGCACCGGCUAACUACGUGCCAGCAGCCGCGGUAAUAC
This 408-nucleotide ribosomal RNA is filed under the name uncultured bacterium. RNAcentral's name for it is "partial 16S ribosomal RNA". It matches the Rfam family "Bacterial small subunit ribosomal RNA", at positions 28 to 526 of the family's 1533-position model. The record is from RNAcentral.